CCUACGGGCUGCAGCAGUGAGGAAUAUUGGUCAAUGGGCGGAAGCCUGAACCAGCCAAGUAGCGUGCAGGAUGACGGCCCUACGGGUUGUAAACUGCUUUUAUACGGGAAUAAUGCGCUUUACGUGUAGGGUUUUGCCAGUACCGUAUGAAUAAGCAUCGGCUAACUCCGUGCCAGCAGCCGCGGUAAUACGGAAGGUGCGGGCGUUAUCCGGAUUUAUUGGGUUUAAAGGGAGCGUAGGCCGGAUGUUAAGUGUGCGGGGAAAUGUUCGGGCUUAACCCGGGCCAUGCAACGAGCAUUGGCGUGCUUGAGACCGCGGAAGGCAGGCGGAAUUCGUCAAGUAGCGGGGAAAUGCUUAGAUAUGACGAAGAACCCCGAUAGCGAAGGCAGCUUGCUGCAGCGGAACUGACGCUGAUGCUCGAGAGCACGGGUAUCGAACAGGAUUAGAUACCCGUGUAGUC
Molecule: ribosomal RNA, 460 nt
Filed under: uncultured bacterium
Lineage: Bacteria
Description: partial 16S ribosomal RNA
Rfam family: Bacterial small subunit ribosomal RNA
Source: RNAcentral